RNAcentral lists this ribosomal RNA (245 nucleotides) under uncultured Bacteroidales bacterium. RNAcentral describes it as "partial 16S ribosomal RNA". It matches the Rfam family "Bacterial small subunit ribosomal RNA", at positions 524 to 768 of the family's 1533-position model. The record is from RNAcentral. Lineage: Bacteria; Pseudomonadati; Bacteroidota; Bacteroidia; Bacteroidales.
UACGGAGGAUGCAAGCGUUAUCCGGAUUUAUUGGGUUUAAAGGGUGCGCAGGCGGACUAAUAAGUCAGUGGUGAAAUUUACAUGCUUAACAUGUAUCGUGCCAUUGAUACUGUGAGACUAGUAUGCAAAUGACGUAGCUGGAAUGUGUUAUGUAGCGGUGAAAUGCAUAGAUAUAACACAGAACACCGAUCGUGAAGACAGGUUACGAAUUUGUGAUAGACGCUCAUGCACGAAAGCGUGGGGAU